UACGUAGGGUGCAAGCGUUGUCCGGAAUUAUUGGGCGUAAAGAGCUCGUAGGCGGUCUGUCGCGUCUGCUGUGAAAACUCGGGGCUUAACCCCGGGCCUGCAGUGGGUACGGGCAGACUAGAGUGCGGUAGGGGAGACUGGAAUUCCUGGUGUAGCGGUGGAAUGCGCAGAUAUCAGGAGGAACACCGGUGGCGAAGGCGGGAUCCUGGGCCAGUACUGACGCUGAGGAGCGAAAGCGUGGGGAGCAAACAGG
Molecule: ribosomal RNA, 253 nt
Filed under: uncultured bacterium
Lineage: Bacteria
Description: partial 16S ribosomal RNA
Rfam family: Bacterial small subunit ribosomal RNA
Source: RNAcentral